AAUAAGUGCAGCCAUGAGUUUUCGUGUCCAACUUUCAUCGUCCGUCUUAUUUAAAAAUUUUUUAUAAUUAGCAUUUUUUGUUGUUAUGAGAUGAUAAAACAUGAAUAGUACUUUACUCGUGAUUUAUGUUUUUAAUUUUUUUAAAAAAAUUUUAAAUAAGACGAACGGUCAAAGUUGGACGCGGAAAACUAUAGCUACACUUAUU
This is a non-coding RNA of Oryza glumipatula, 205 nucleotides long. The record is from Rfam. Lineage: Eukaryota; Viridiplantae; Streptophyta; Magnoliopsida; Poales; Poaceae.